RNAcentral lists this ribosomal RNA (1295 nucleotides) under Salmonella enterica subsp. enterica serovar Cerro. RNAcentral describes it as "bacterial SSU rRNA". It matches the Rfam family "Bacterial small subunit ribosomal RNA", at positions 248 to 1533 of the family's 1533-position model. RNAcentral also lists the same sequence under 1 other name. The record is from RNAcentral. Lineage: Bacteria; Pseudomonadati; Pseudomonadota; Gammaproteobacteria; Enterobacterales; Enterobacteriaceae.
GUUGGUGAGGUAACGGCUCACCAAGGCGACGAUCCCUAGCUGGUCUGAGAGGAUGACCAGCCACACUGGAACUGAGACACGGUCCAGACUCCUACGGGAGGCAGCAGUGGGGAAUAUUGCACAAUGGGCGCAAGCCUGAUGCAGCCAUGCCGCGUGUAUGAAGAAGGCCUUCGGGUUGUAAAGUACUUUCAGCGGGGAGGAAGGUGUUGUGGUUAAUAACCGCAGCAAUUGACGUUACCCGCAGAAGAAGCACCGGCUAACUCCGUGCCAGCAGCCGCGGUAAUACGGAGGGUGCAAGCGUUAAUCGGAAUUACUGGGCGUAAAGCGCACGCAGGCGGUCUGUCAAGUCGGAUGUGAAAUCCCCGGGCUCAACCUGGGAACUGCAUUCGAAACUGGCAGGCUUGAGUCUUGUAGAGGGGGGUAGAAUUCCAGGUGUAGCGGUGAAAUGCGUAGAGAUCUGGAGGAAUACCGGUGGCGAAGGCGGCCCCCUGGACAAAGACUGACGCUCAGGUGCGAAAGCGUGGGGAGCAAACAGGAUUAGAUACCCUGGUAGUCCACGCCGUAAACGAUGUCUACUUGGAGGUUGUGCCCUUGAGGCGUGGCUUCCGGAGCUAACGCGUUAAGUAGACCGCCUGGGGAGUACGGCCGCAAGGUUAAAACUCAAAUGAAUUGACGGGGGCCCGCACAAGCGGUGGAGCAUGUGGUUUAAUUCGAUGCAACGCGAAGAACCUUACCUGGUCUUGACAUCCACGGAAGUUUUCAGAGAUGAGAAUGUGCCUUCGGGAACCGUGAGACAGGUGCUGCAUGGCUGUCGUCAGCUCGUGUUGUGAAAUGUUGGGUUAAGUCCCGCAACGAGCGCAACCCUUAUCCUUUGUUGCCAGCGGUCCGGCCGGGAACUCAAAGGAGACUGCCAGUGAUAAACUGGAGGAAGGUGGGGAUGACGUCAAGUCAUCAUGGCCCUUACGACCAGGGCUACACACGUGCUACAAUGGCGCAUACAAAGAGAAGCGACCUCGCGAGAGCAAGCGGACCUCAUAAAGUGCGUCGUAGUCCGGAUUGGAGUCUGCAACUCGACUCCAUGAAGUCGGAAUCGCUAGUAAUCGUGGAUCAGAAUGCCACGGUGAAUACGUUCCCGGGCCUUGUACACACCGCCCGUCACACCAUGGGAGUGGGUUGCAAAAGAAGUAGGUAGCUUAACCUUCGGGAGGGCGCUUACCACUUUGUGAUUCAUGACUGGGGUGAAGUCGUAACAAGGUAACCGUAGGGGAACCUGCGGUUGGAUCACCUCCUUACCU